GCACUUGUACCUGCAGCCUGGCCCGGCCCCCAGCUCCCCGGCGGCCCCUGUCCUGCCCGGCUCGGCCCUGCUCUCGGGGGUGGCCCUCAAGGGCCAGUAUGUGGAGUUCUCGGCCCUGCAGGCGGCCGAGCUGGCCAAGCUGCCGGCCACGGGGCUGCUCUACCAGGCGGCCCCCCCCUUCCUCUACAGCCCCCCCUUCUGUGCCGGCCAGCUGGGCCCCGAGCAGCCCCUACUCCAGGUAUGUGGUGGAGGGGAGAGGAGGGGGCGGGGCUCCCUGCGCCUGGCUCCGCCCCCUGAUCACCAGUUCCUCCCCUCCAGGUGCGGCAGGAGCUGAACCCCCCCUCGGAUUUCUACCCAGGCUCCCUGGCGCAGGCCAAUCAGAGCAACUUCCUGCAGGCCCCGGGCCCCGCCCAGCAGAUGCUGCUGCCUGUGGUGGAGUCACAGCUGCCCCCGGUGGUGAACUUCAA
RNAcentral lists this long non-coding RNA (467 nucleotides) under Gopherus evgoodei (Goodes thornscrub tortoise). RNAcentral describes it as "lncRNA (ENSGEVG00005015693.1)". Lineage: Eukaryota; Metazoa; Chordata; Testudines; Testudinidae. The record is from RNAcentral.